Molecule: ribosomal RNA, 484 nt
Filed under: uncultured bacterium
Lineage: Bacteria
Description: bacterial SSU rRNA
Rfam family: Bacterial small subunit ribosomal RNA
Source: RNAcentral
UCAGGAUGAACGCUGGCGGCGUGCCUAACACAUGCAAGUCGAACGAGCGAGAGAUGAAACCUAGUGAUUCUCGAGCGAGUGGCGGACGGGUGAGUAACGCGUGGGUAACCUGCCUUACAGAGGGGGAUAACAGUUUGAAAAGACUGCUAAUACCGCAUAAGCACACAGUACCGCAUGGUACAGGGUGAAAAGAUUUAUCACUGUAAGAUGGACCCGCGUCUGAUUAGCCAGUUGGCAGGGUAACGGCCUACCAAAGCGACGAUCAGUAGCCGACCUGAGAGGGUGAUCGGCCACAUUGGGACUGAGACACGGCCCAAACUCCUACGGGAGGCAGCAGUGGGGGAUAUUGCACAAUGGAGGAAACUCUGAUGCAAGCGACGCCGCGUGAGUGAAGAAGUAUUUCGGUAUGUAAAGCUCUAUCAGCAGGGAAGAUAAUGACAGUACCUGACCAAGAAGCCCCGGCUAACUACGUGCCAGCCGCGGC